GAUCCUGGCUCAGGAUGAACGCUAGCUACAGGCUUAACACAUGCAAGUCGAGGGGCAGCAUGGUCUUAGCUUGCUAAGGCCGAUGGCGACCGGCGCAUGGGUGAGUAACACGUAUCCAACCUGCCGUCUACUCUUGGACAGCCUUCUGAAAGGAAGGUUAAUACAAGAUGGCAUCAUGAGUUCGCUAUGUUCACAUGAUUAAAGGUAUUCCGGUAGACGAUGGGG
Molecule: ribosomal RNA, 225 nt
Filed under: uncultured bacterium
Lineage: Bacteria
Description: partial 16S ribosomal RNA
Rfam family: Bacterial small subunit ribosomal RNA
Source: RNAcentral